This 482-nucleotide ribosomal RNA is filed under the name Streptococcus australis. RNAcentral's name for it is "bacterial SSU rRNA". It matches the Rfam family "Bacterial small subunit ribosomal RNA", at positions 28 to 492 of the family's 1533-position model. The record is from RNAcentral. Lineage: Bacteria; Bacillati; Bacillota; Bacilli; Lactobacillales; Streptococcaceae.
GAUGAACGCUGGCGGCGUGCCUAAUACAUGCAAGUAGAACGCUGAAGGAAGGAGCUUGCUCUUUCCGGAUGAGUUGCGAACGGGUGAGUAACGCGUAGGUAACCUGCCUGGUAGCGGGGGAUAACUAUUGGAAACGAUAGCUAAUACCGCAUAACAGUAGAUAUUGCAUGAUAUCUGCUUGAAAGGGGCAAUUGCUCCACUACCAGAUGGACCUGCGUUGUAUUAGCUAGUUGGUGAGGUAACGGCUCACCAAGGCGACGAUACAUAGCCGACCUGAGAGGGUGAUCGGCCACACUGGGACUGAGACACGGCCCAGACUCCUACGGGAGGCAGCAGUAGGGAAUCUUCGGCAAUGGACGGAAGUCUGACCGAGCAACGCCGCGUGAGUGAAGAAGGUUUUCGGAUCGUAAAGCUCUGUUGUAAGAGAAGGACGAGUGUGAGAGUGGAAAGUUCACACUGUGACGGUAUCUAACCAGAAAGCC